GUCCAAGUCUUCUGGAAAGGAGUUCCGCGGAGGGUGACAGGCCCGUGCGACCGAUUGCCGCGCUCGCGGACGAGUCCUCCUUCGAGUCGGGUUGUUCGCUAAUGCAGCCCCAAGCAGGUGGUAAGCUCCAUCUAAGGCUAAAUAUAACCACGAGCCCGAUAGUCCACAAGUACAGUGAUGGAAAGUUGAAAAGUACUCUGAAGAGAGAGUCAAAUAGCCCGUGAAGCUGCCAGUAUGGGAUUAAGCGCACGUAUGACGCGUGUCGUCGGCCAAAUAGGCGACUGUUGGGUGUGCCCACUGCGUGCGAGUGCGCCCUGUUGGCGCCUGCUCGUGCGUGGCGUCCGCGCACGCUCGGCAGAACGCUUCCCUUUGGUCGCACAUUGACAGGUCGUGGCUUCGUUGUCCAUGGUCUUAUUGCCGGUCGGCGAUUCGCAGAGCCGUGUCGAGCGUCGGCACGAUCUUGCGGUCGUGUCUCGACGUGCUCCGUCAAUUUGGCGCCCGCGCGGCGGUGACGGUCGGCCUGGUCUGCGCUGCAAUAUGUCGACCGAUGGGGC
RNAcentral lists this ribosomal RNA (554 nucleotides) under Arcoscalpellum africanum. RNAcentral's name for it is "eukaryotic LSU rRNA". It matches the Rfam family "Eukaryotic large subunit ribosomal RNA", at positions 179 to 501 of the family's 3401-position model. The record is from RNAcentral. Lineage: Eukaryota; Metazoa; Arthropoda; Thecostraca; Scalpellidae.